RNAcentral lists this ribosomal RNA (323 nucleotides) under uncultured bacterium. RNAcentral describes it as "bacterial SSU rRNA". It matches the Rfam family "Bacterial small subunit ribosomal RNA", at positions 28 to 334 of the family's 1533-position model. The record is from RNAcentral.
GAUGAACGCUGGCGGCGUGCCUAACACAUGCAAGUCGAGCGAGAAAUGUUUUGAUGACGCUUCGGUUGAUUCAAGACAUGGAAAGCGGCGGACGGGUGAGUAACGCGUAGGCAACCUGCCCUUCACAGAGGGAUAGCCUCGGGAAACCGGGAUUAAAACCUCAUAAUGCCGAGAUGAGACAUCUCAAUUCGGCCAAAGAUUUAUCGGUGAAGGAUGGGCCUGCGUCUGAUUAGUUAGUUGGUGGGGUAACGGCCUACCAAGGCGACGAUCAGUAGCCGACCUGAGAGGGUGAUCGGCCACAUUGGAACUGAGACACGGUCCAA